Molecule: transfer RNA, 84 nt
Filed under: Candidatus Omnitrophota bacterium
Lineage: Bacteria; Pseudomonadati; Candidatus Omnitrophota
Description: tRNA-Leu
Rfam family: tRNA
About the family: Transfer RNA (tRNA) molecules are approximately 80 nucleotides in length. Their secondary structure includes four short double-helical elements and three loops (D, anti-codon, and T loops).
Source: RNAcentral
GCCGCGGUGGUGAAAUUGGUAGACACGUACGUUUCAGGGGCGUAUGAGGGUAACCUCAUGAGAGUUCAAGUCUCUCCCGCGGCA